AGUGAACGCUGGCGGCGUGCCUAAUACAUGCAAGUCGAACGAAGUGGCGCACGGGCGAGUAAUAUAUAGUUAAUCUGCCCUACACAGAGGAACAACAGUUGGAAACGACUGCUAAUACCUCAUAGUGUAGGAUGAGACUAUAUCGUAUCAGCUAGUUGGUAAGGUAAUGGCUUACCAAGGCUAUGACGCGUAACUGGUCUGGGAGGAUGAUCAGUCACAUUGGAACUGAGACACGUACCAGGCGCCUACGGGGGGCAGCGGUCAGGAAUAUUGCGCAGUGAGGGAGACCCUGAUACGGCGGCGCCGCGUGCGUAAUGUCGGCCUUCGGGUUAUAAACCGCUUUCAGCCAUGACGCGGUAGUGGCAGAAGAAGCACCGGCUAACUACGUGCCAGCCGCCGCGGUAAUUC
This 408-nucleotide ribosomal RNA is filed under the name uncultured bacterium. Its description in RNAcentral is "partial 16S ribosomal RNA". It matches the Rfam family "Bacterial small subunit ribosomal RNA", at positions 29 to 526 of the family's 1533-position model. The record is from RNAcentral.